Molecule: ribosomal RNA, 229 nt
Filed under: uncultured bacterium
Lineage: Bacteria
Description: partial 16S ribosomal RNA
Rfam family: Bacterial small subunit ribosomal RNA
Source: RNAcentral
GAUCAUGGCUCAGGAUAAACGCUGGCGGCGCACAUAAGACAUGCAAGUCGAACGAACUUAACCAUUAGUUUACUAUUGGAGCGGUUAGUGGCGGACUGGUGAGUAACACGUAAGCAACCUGCCUAUCAGAGGGGAACAACAGUUAGAAAUGACUGCUAAUACCGCAUAUGCCUUAGAAUCACAUGGUUCAAAAGGGAAAGGAGCAAUCCACUGAUAGAUGGGCUUGCGU